AUGAACCCGGUCCGUCCACCAUCUCCCAGGAUAUCUAGUGAGGCUGUCACCUUAUCUGUUUAUUAGAUCACAUCCCUUUCCUGUUUCUUCUUAAUCUCCGUUACCAAAUUAAAUACAAUCACAUAAACAAUGAACAUGCACCCGGUAAUACAAUUAUAUCUUAAAUUCUAAAAUCACACAGUGGUCAAGUAAGACAGUAAUACAUGCAUUUU
Molecule: long non-coding RNA, 212 nt
Filed under: Carica papaya (papaya)
Lineage: Eukaryota; Viridiplantae; Streptophyta; Magnoliopsida; Brassicales; Caricaceae
Description: long non-coding RNA (CPAP_LNC006233)
Source: RNAcentral